CCUACGGGGGGCAGCAGUGGGGAAUAUUGGACAAUGGGGGGAACCCUGAUCCAGCCAUGCCGCGUGUGUGAAGAAGGCCCUCGGGUUGUAAAGCACUUUCAGUGAGGAAGAACGCCUGGUGGUUAAUACCCAUCAGGAAAGACAUCACUCACAGAAGAAGCACCGGCUAACUCCGUGCCAGCAGCCGCGGUAAUACGGAGGGUGCGAGCGUUAAUCGGAAUUACUGGGCGUAAAGCGCGCGUAGGUGGCUUGAUAAGCCGGUUGUGAAAGCCCCGGGCUCAACCUGGGAACGGCAUCCGGAACUGUCAAGCUAGAGUGCAGGAGAGGAAGGUAGAAUUCCCGGUGUAGCGGUGAAAUGCGUAGACAUCGGGAGGAAUACCAGUGGCGAAGGCGGCCUUCUGGCCUGACACUGACACUGAGGUGCGAAAGCGUGGGUAGCAAACAGGAUUAGAUACCCUAGUAGUC
RNAcentral lists this ribosomal RNA (465 nucleotides) under Vreelandella stevensii. Its description in RNAcentral is "partial 16S ribosomal RNA". It matches the Rfam family "Bacterial small subunit ribosomal RNA", at positions 338 to 795 of the family's 1533-position model. The record is from RNAcentral. Lineage: Bacteria; Pseudomonadati; Pseudomonadota; Gammaproteobacteria; Oceanospirillales; Halomonadaceae.